CAAGAGGUAAAUUUAUAGAAUCAAAAGUUAAAAAUCAACUCUCCGAAUGCAAUGCAUGUGUAUGACUAAGUUUGUGACUGGUCUCUUUUCGGUGGGAAUGUUCUAUCACCUCUACAAUCAGCUGAAAGUUAAAAGACAUGGGUGAUGGUCAGGGAACCAAGUCUGCCAAUGCCAACAAAGGGAACGCAGCUACCAACCUUAGAACUUUUGAUCACCAUCUCCCUGCCCCACCACCAGCUGUUUCUGCAAUCCGAUGCUCAGCGCUCGACAUCAACGCUUGAUAAUGAAAACUUUUGUUGUGUUUCUUGAAUUUUGUCAUUUUUUAAACCUUUUCCUUUGGGUAUUUUUUUAAACAGAGGAAGAAUCAAUCUAAUUAUGUAAUAAUUAUUUCAUAUGCCUGUGUUUCUUCGUUUUAUGGUGCUUAAAUGAUUCUUUUUGAUUUCAU
Molecule: long non-coding RNA, 445 nt
Organism: Lactuca sativa (garden lettuce)
Lineage: Eukaryota; Viridiplantae; Streptophyta; Magnoliopsida; Asterales; Asteraceae
Source: RefSeq, a predicted model, not a curated record